Non-coding RNA from Arachis ipaensis, 1720 nucleotides. NCBI's taxonomy places the organism in Eukaryota, Viridiplantae, Streptophyta, Magnoliopsida, Fabales, Fabaceae. The record is from RefSeq and is a predicted model, not a curated record.
GAAUGUAUGGGUAAAUUGGAUUGGGGUCGAGAAUAGAGAAUUUUAAUCCAGGCAGAGCUUUAAUGGCCCUCCCAAAAAUCGUCCACCAAGAAAGUCUCCGGCGACAAACAGCUGUUUCCGGUGAAUUCCAUCACCAAAGAUUUGAAACGAUCGAAUUCAGAGAUUGAAACUUGAUGAAGUCCUGCUCACAGGUUCUACAGAAGAUCAUGAAGAAAGGAUUGAUCUCCAUGUUCCCAUCAACCCUAAUCCUAAUCAAGAAAGGAUUCAUCUGAUUCCCAUUAAUCACCUCAAUCCCCUGAUCCCACUCUCAAUACUCAUCUUUCUUCAUCAAAAACCCUAAUAUUCGCAUAAUCAAUUAUGAUCAUCAACUCUUCUCCCUUCAUGGACUCCAUCCUUGCCCUUCAGAACCUUCGCGUAUUCAGUCCUGGCUUGAAUCCUUUUAAUCCCUGUUGCGUCGCUCAUCACUCUCGUUAAUUUCCCCCUUUAUACGUCUAUUACUCUUGUCUGUUCCCUGCUGUUUCCUGCGAAAACAAAGAAUAGUCGUUUUGGGGAUUUGUAUUUUAGGGGUUUUUUUUAUUGGAUCGUCGUUUUUAUUUUGGGGGUGUCGUUUUUGGGUGUUGGAGUGAGAAGAGAUGCUGGAGGCGCAGCCAGUGUUGUUCAGGAGAAUCCCGUUGAGGAGGCGCAUGCUGAAGCCUAGCGUUGGUACAGAAGAUAGAGGUUGGACUUCUCUUCAUGUUUGCGCCCGCAAAGGUGAUCUCAAACUGGAAAAAUAUAGAGAGGCUUCACGAUGAGAUGCUGAGAUACUUCAAAGUUGUUUGUAGGGAGAAGGACCCAAUAAGGCAAAGGACCCCAAUAAGAGGGAGAUGAGCCUUGAGGAGAAACACAAGUUAGGUAUUGGGUUGCAGAGUUUGCCUCCUGAGAAAAUGGAGCAGGUGAUACAGAUCAUAAGGAAUAGGAAUGGGAAUCUGAAGCAAGACGAGGAUGAGAUUGAGCUUGAUAUUGAGGCUGUUGACACUGAAACCCUUUGAGAACUUGAUCGAUUAUUGACCAAUUGGAAGAAGAUGAUGAGCAAAAUUAAGCGGCAGGCACUACUUGGCAACUUGAACAACAACAAUGCAGCAUCCAAUAAAUUCAAUGGGGAAUUGACUCCAGCAGUUCAAGUAGUGAUUCUUCUCUAGUGAUUCAGAUUCAGCGAGUUGCUCAAGGAGUGAUUCUGAAGCAUGGCCAAUGUGUGGUGUUCUGCCGAAGAAAAUGAUUUGCUUCACGGCUUCUUUUGAGUGUGCAGCUUCAAUUCAUGGACUAGGUAGUGUUGCUGUGAACAUGGUUUGCUGUUUCAUAUUGGAUGGAUUUUUGGUGGCAGCACAACUGCUAGAAGUGGUUUGUGGUGUGCAUUAUUUUGUAAAAAGGAUUUCUAAUACUGAAGAGCUAAUAAAAAAAAAUGGUAGGCCAGAAAUUAGAGUGCAAUGUGGUGAAAAUCUUAGUUUAGUUCCGUUAGAUUAGUUAGAAAUUAGGAUAAUAGAUUAGGGAGAAUCAAUGUGUUUGAGUUCACCUUGUACACAUUACUGCUACAGUAAAUAGAAUUAUCCUCGAUGGAGAUGGCCUUUAAUCAAAAGGAUAUGUAUCUUACUUGUUGGGAUCGACAAUUGAUCAGAUUAGAGAUUUAAAUUUUGUAUGUACCACAGACUUUAAUGACUCAUUAUAUAAUCACCUAUUCUUUCAA